RNAcentral lists this microRNA (22 nucleotides) under Pristionchus pacificus. RNAcentral describes it as "ppc-miR-8286b-5p". The record is from miRBase by way of RNAcentral. Lineage: Eukaryota; Metazoa; Nematoda; Chromadorea; Rhabditida; Neodiplogasteridae.
ACCGCACCUUGCUCUAUCCAUC